UACGAAGGGUUCAAACGUUGCUCGGAAUUAUUGGGCGUAAAGCGCACGUAGGCGGCAUUGCAAGUCGGAUGUGAAAUCUUAUGGCUUAACCAUAAAAGUGCAUCCGAAACUGCAGUGCUUGAGUACUUAAGAGGAUCGCGGAAUUCCCGGUGUAGAGGUGAAAUUCGUAGAUAUCGGGAGGAACACCGGUGGCGAAGGCGGCUCACUGGGCCGGUCCUGACGCUCAGGCGCGAAAGCGUGGGGAGCGAACAGG
Molecule: ribosomal RNA, 253 nt
Filed under: uncultured bacterium
Lineage: Bacteria
Description: partial 16S ribosomal RNA
Rfam family: Bacterial small subunit ribosomal RNA
Source: RNAcentral